RNAcentral lists this ribosomal RNA (503 nucleotides) under uncultured soil bacterium. RNAcentral describes it as "bacterial SSU rRNA". It matches the Rfam family "Bacterial small subunit ribosomal RNA", at positions 26 to 494 of the family's 1533-position model. The record is from RNAcentral.
AGAACGAACGCUGGCGGCGUGGAUAAGACAUGCAAGUCGAGCGGGAUUACUUUGUAGCAAUACAGAAGUAAUUUAGUGGCGAACGGGUGCGUAACACGUGGGCAAUCUGCCGAAAAGUGGGGGAUAGCUCGCCGAAAGGCGAAUUAAUACCGCAUGUGGUGAGGGACGACAUCUUCCUGAAUCCAAAGCCGGGGCAACCUGGCGCUUUUUGAGGAGCCCGCGGCCUAUCAGCUAGUUGGUGAGGUAACGGCUCACCAAGGCUGUGACGGGUAGCUGGUCUGAGAGGACGACCAGUCACACUGGAACUGAGACACGGUCCAGACACCUACGGGUGGCAGCAGUCGAGUAAUUUUUUCUCAAUUGGGGGGAAACCCUGGAAGGAGCGACGCCGCGUGGAGGAUGGAAGGUCUUUACGGGUUGUAAACUCCGUGUCGAUUUGAGAACAAGGUGCGAAGUUAUUAACUGUAGCUACGCUAUUGAUAGUAUCAAGAAGAGGAAGGACG